CCUACGGGGAGCAGCAGUGAGGAAUAUUGGUCAAUGGUCGGGAGACUGAACCAGCCAAGCCGCGUGAGGGAUGAAGGUACAGAGUAUCGUAAACCUCUUUUGUCCGGGGACAAAGGCGGGGACGCGUCCCCGGAUGAGUGUACCUGAAGAAAAAGCAUCGGCUAACUCCGUGCCAGCAGCCGCGGUAAUACGGAGGAUCCGAGCGUUAUCCGGAUUUAUUGGGUUUAAAGGGUGCGGAGGCGGUCUGUUAAGUUAGAGGUCAAAUGCCGGGGCUCAACCCCGGCCCUGCCUUUGAAACUGGCAGUCUAGAGUUGGAGAGAGGUAUGCGGAAUGUGCGGUGUAGCGGUGAAAUGCAUAGAGAUCGUACAGAACACCGAUUGCGAAGGCAGCAUGCCGGCUCCACACUGACGCUGAGGCACGAAAGCGUGGGUAGCGAACAGGAUUAGAUACCCGAGUAGUC
Molecule: ribosomal RNA, 460 nt
Filed under: uncultured bacterium
Lineage: Bacteria
Description: partial 16S ribosomal RNA
Rfam family: Bacterial small subunit ribosomal RNA
Source: RNAcentral